This 115-nucleotide ribosomal RNA is filed under the name Aotus nancymaae (Ma's night monkey). Lineage: Eukaryota; Metazoa; Chordata; Mammalia; Primates; Aotidae. The record is from RNAcentral.
GUCUACGACCAUACCACCCUGAAUGCGCCCGAUCUCGUCUGAUCUCGGAAGCUAAGCAGGGUCAGGCCUGGUUAGUACUUGGAUGGGAGACCACUUGGUUGUGUCUAGUUAGCCA